Molecule: ribosomal RNA, 497 nt
Filed under: uncultured bacterium
Lineage: Bacteria
Description: partial 16S ribosomal RNA
Rfam family: Bacterial small subunit ribosomal RNA
Source: RNAcentral
GAUGAACGCUGGCGGCGUGCCUAAUACAUGCAAGUCGAGCGAACGGACGAGAAGCUUGCUUCUCUGAUGUUAGCGGCGGACGGGUGAGUAACACGUGGAUAACCUACCUAUAAGACUGGGAUAACUUCGGGAAACCGGAGCUAAUACCGGAUAAUAUUUUGAACCGCAUGGUUCAAAAGUGAAAGACGGUCUUGCUGUCACUUAUAGAUGGAUCCGCGCUGCAUUAGCUAGUUGGUAAGGUAACGGCUUACCAAGGCAACGAUGCAUAGCCGACGUGAGAGGGUGAUCGCCCACACUGGAACGGAGACACGGUCCAGACUCCUACGGGAGGCAGCAGUAGGGAAUCGUCCGCAAUGGGCGAAAGCCUGACGGAGCAACGCCGCGUGAGUGAUGAAGGUCUUCGGAUCGUAAAACUCUGUUAUUAGGGAAGAACAUAUGUGUAAGUAACUGUGCACAUCUUGACGGUACCUAAUCAGAAAGCCACGGCUAACUACGUG